AUGGCUCAGAUUGAACGCUAGCGGGAUGCCUUACACAUGCAAGUCGAACGGCAGCGCGGACUUCGGUCUGGCGGCGAGUGGCGAACGGGUGAGUAAUGUAUCGGAACGUGCCCAGUAGCGGGGGACAACCACUCGAAAGAGUGGCUAAUACCGCAUACGCCCUACGGGGAAAGGGGGGGAUCGCAAGACCUCUCACUAUUGGAGCGGCCGAUAUCGGAUUAGCUAGUUGGUGGGGUAAAGGCCUACCAAGGCGACGAUCCGUAGCUGGUUUGAGAGGACGACCAGCCACACUGGGACUGAGACACGGCCCAGACUCCUACGGGAGGCAGCAGUGGGGAAUUUUGGACAAUGGGGGAAACCCUGAUCCAGCCAUUCCGCGUGUGCGAUGAAGGCCUUCGGGUUGUAAAGCACUUUUGGCAGGAAAGAAAUCGUGUGGGUUAAUACCCUGCGCGGAUGACGGUACCUGCAGAAUAAGCACCGGCUAACUACGUG
RNAcentral lists this ribosomal RNA (492 nucleotides) under uncultured bacterium. RNAcentral describes it as "bacterial SSU rRNA". It matches the Rfam family "Bacterial small subunit ribosomal RNA", at positions 19 to 507 of the family's 1533-position model. The record is from RNAcentral.